Molecule: non-coding RNA, 91 nt
Organism: Mycena epipterygia
Lineage: Eukaryota; Fungi; Basidiomycota; Agaricomycetes; Agaricales; Mycenaceae
Source: the annotation of a GenBank genome assembly
UCGGACGUGGUGUAUGGCGCACACCCGCUUUCUAUGUUGGAUGAAAAGAGAUGGUGUGUGGGGAGCCCGGGUUCGACUCCUGGCGUUCGAA